CCUACGGGCGGCAGCAGUGGGGAAUAUUGCACAAUGGGGGAAACCCUGAUGCAGCGACGCCGCGUGAGUGAAGAAGUAUUUCGGUAUGUAAAGCUCUAUCAGCAGGGAAGAAAAUGACGGUACCUGAUCAAGAAGCCCCGGCUAACUACGUGACAGCAGCCGCGGUAAUACGUAGGGGGCAAGCGUUAUCCGGAUUUACUGGGUGUAAAGGGAGCGUAGACGGCAGCACAAGUCUGGAGUGAAAUUCCUGGGCUUAACCCCGGAGCUGCUUUGGAAACUGGGCAGCUAGAGUGCAGGAGAGGUAAGUGGAAUUCCUAGUGUAGCGGUGAAAUGCGUAGAUAUUAGGAGGAACACCAGUGGCGAAGGCGGCUUACUGG
RNAcentral lists this ribosomal RNA (377 nucleotides) under uncultured bacterium. Its description in RNAcentral is "partial 16S ribosomal RNA". It matches the Rfam family "Bacterial small subunit ribosomal RNA", at positions 338 to 732 of the family's 1533-position model. The record is from RNAcentral.